This 2188-nucleotide long non-coding RNA is filed under the name Acromyrmex echinatior (Panamanian leafcutter ant). RNAcentral describes it as "uncharacterized LOC105146455". Lineage: Eukaryota; Metazoa; Arthropoda; Insecta; Hymenoptera; Formicidae. The record is from RNAcentral.
UUUUCCUCCCGUACGUCCUUUCAAUUUUCGAUCAACGAAGAGAAGAUACUUUUGAAGCGACGAGAGUAAAUUUUCCUGAUAUAAUGCGAACAAUUAAACAUCAGUCGCAGGAGAAACUGAGUUUGCCAGGUUAAAUGGAUAAAGAAGCAAAUUAUAGGACGGCCAAUAACAAUAGCGCUUCCUCGUCAAUAGAAAGGAAGAGAAAGACAGAAAUAGAGAGAGAGAGAGAGAGGGGGGGGGGGGCAAGAUACCCCUCGCACAAAGAGAAUCGCGCUCCAGUUUCAUAUUCCAUUUACUGCCUAAUUGGCUCGGAAUAGAUAAAUAAUUGCAAGAGCUUCGAAAUAAUGCCGACCAAUAACGCGAUACGCGUUAUUUCGCGACAAUAUAAACUUUUUAUUUCAAUGAAGAAGAAUCGCGCAUGCGACCACAUAUAACGACGGCUUACAAUUGGCUCAUAAAGGAAUAAUGACGUUUCGUUAAAGUUCUUUUUAUACGAAACAUAAAAGAUGUAUGUUGCACGCUUCGCAUUGAAACAGUAAUUAAAAUAUGAUAUUUCCUUUAUUGCGUUUACGAUUGAAGUUAUUGUAAUUAAAAUAGCGGACUAUGUGUGCGUCAAACAUGUUGAAUAUUUGUUAGCGAGAACAUUUGAAAACUUCGGUCCUCCGCGAGAAAGGGCGAUGUAAAGCGGAUGAGACUAAUCCACGAUUCCCACGUCAAUUCGCUUGCACGAGUUUUUAUUUCACAGUGAGACGGAACCCUGCAUAAUCGUCCAAAUGAGAGAGAGAGAGAGAGAGAGAGAGAGAGAGAGAGAAAAAACCGGGACCGCGCCCCAUUUCGUGACUCGUCUACAUUUGGCCGGCGCGAAACAAAAUGUCUCACAAUGAUGCACUAUCGAAAAUUACCCGGAAGAAGACGAAGGAGGAGACAAUAAUGAUUGAGUGAAAUCAGUACAUUUGGCCCUUUAUGAAUUUCGUAAUGUAAUCAAGUCCCGCAUUUUCCGAAAGCAUAAUCUUUAUGGCGUAUCUUCAAUCAGGAUAAGGAGAGAAUUGGAGAGAAACGUCGAUGGAUUGCAUGUCGCACGCGGAUGCUACGAUGAACGCGCCACGGACUAUUCAUGAGGAACGUCAGGUCGAAAUUGGGACAGCCCGAGAGUUCGUGAUUCGAAACGGCAGUGAGGAAUGGAUUGACCCCGAUCGCACGAGAGCGAUUUUUGCGCGAGAGAAGCACCGGAGCGUGCGUCGACCCUGCGCCAAUCUGUCGGUUGCCGUAUACUUCCUUCCCCGACGAUUCUGUUGAAUCCAGUGAACAAGAAUGAAAUAAAUCUGAGUGGCACUCAGGAAAUCUGAACAUAGCCCUACGCGUUUCCGUGAUGUGGUCGCAGCGGAUGCACCAAGUUCUACCUCGCAACGACGACCGAGUCCGUCAAUGUCGCUUCGUCAACGUUGUCGUCGUCGUCGCCGUCGCCGAGCGUCGCCACACCGCGUCGCGCCGCAUCGAGACAGAAUCGUUCGAUUCUACUAUAUUUCCUCUCGAAUCAAACCGGAAGUUAGAGAGACGACGUGAUUCUCUCCGUUUCUUGUAUUAUUCAACACUAUUUGCAAUCUACUCUAUUUUUUUUUAGAAUCACUGCCGUAGCGACGCUUUUAUUAUUCAAUGACAUUUAUUGUCUAGUUGAAAAUUUACGAUUUUUUUUGUGAUAACUAAAAUCUUACUUGUAAAAGCAGAACAUUCCGAUAGUUAGACUUUCUUGUGCCAAGUAUGAACAAAGUAAGUUAAACGUUGUCACAGAUGUGUCAUUGAAAUUUAUCAAUAUUUCUCGUUAAUCAAAGUGACUCAUAUACAUGUAUAAUAGUAUUACUUGUUUUCUUCUUUCACCUUGGGAAUAUAAAGGAAAAUGAACAGUGUCAAUAAAAUCUAUUGAAGCUUGCUAUAAUCGAAAAGAGUUGCAAUAGAAAUUUCUCACGUCGAAUAUAAAAGGACUGAAAGCUAAGCGACGAAGAAAAGCUAUGGAUUCAGUUCCCAUUUUCACUUUAGUGAUAUCUGUCGUCUCAUUGAAACCGAUUAAUACUUUUCGAUAAUCAAAAUCACUCGUAAAAUCGCGUCGUCCACGACGAUGAUUCACGCUUAAGUCAACGCACUGGAAAGCAAAGUUGUAGGAAAAAAAAAUAGAAAGAAAGAAUAUAACAAG